This 271-nucleotide ribosomal RNA is filed under the name Streptococcus agalactiae. Its description in RNAcentral is "partial 16S ribosomal RNA". It matches the Rfam family "Bacterial small subunit ribosomal RNA", at positions 1 to 262 of the family's 1533-position model. RNAcentral also lists the same sequence under 1 other name. Lineage: Bacteria; Bacillati; Bacillota; Bacilli; Lactobacillales; Streptococcaceae. The record is from RNAcentral.
UUUAAUGAGAGUUUGAUCCUGGCUCAGGACGAACGCUGGCGGCGUGCCUAAUACAUGCAAGUAGAACGCUGAGGUUUGGUGUUUACACUAGACUGAUGAGUUGCGAACGGGUGAGUAACGCGUAGGUAACCUGCCUCAUAGCGGGGGAUAACUAUUGGAAACGAUAGCUAAUACCGCAUAAGAGUAAUUAACACAUGUUGGUUAUUUAAAAGGAGCAAUUGCUUCACUGUGAGAUGGACCUGCGUUGUAUUAGCUAGUUGGUGAGGUAAAG